RNAcentral lists this ribosomal RNA (524 nucleotides) under uncultured fungus. RNAcentral's name for it is "SSU rRNA". It matches the Rfam family "Eukaryotic small subunit ribosomal RNA", at positions 569 to 1092 of the family's 1831-position model. Lineage: Eukaryota; Fungi. The record is from RNAcentral.
AGCAGCCGCGGUAAUUCCAGCUCCAAUAGCGUAUAUUAAAGUUGUUGCAGUUAAAAAGCUCGUAGUUGAACUUCGGAAUUUAUUCAUUGGUCAGGCUUAACUGUCUGUACUGGUGUGAUGAAUUCCUACCUUCUGAGGAAUCCUCAUGCCAUUCACUUGGUGUGGUGGGGAAUCAGGACUGUCACUUUGAAAAAAUUAGAGUGUUUAAAGCAGGCUAACGUCUGAAUACAUUAGCAUGGAAUAAUAAAAUAGGACGGCUUGGUUCUAUUUUGUUGGUUUCUAGGAUCACCGUAAUGAUUAAUAGGGAUAGUUGGGGGCAUUAGUAUUCAAUUGUCAGAGGUGAAAUUCUUGGAUUUAUUGAAGACUAACUACUGCGAAAGCAUUUGCCAAGGAUGUUUUCAUUAAUCAAGAACGAAAGUUAGGGGAUCGAAGACGAUCAGAUACCGUCGUAGUCUUAACCAUAAACUAUGCCGACUAGGGAUCGGACGAAGUUAAUUUUUAAAUGACUCGUUCGGCACCUUAAC